RNAcentral lists this ribosomal RNA (253 nucleotides) under uncultured bacterium. Its description in RNAcentral is "partial 16S ribosomal RNA". It matches the Rfam family "Bacterial small subunit ribosomal RNA", at positions 524 to 776 of the family's 1533-position model. The record is from RNAcentral.
GACGAACCGUCCGAACGUUAUUCGGAAUCACUGGGCUUAAAGGGUGCGUAGGCGGCGCGGCAAGUUGGGUGUGAAAUCCCUCGGCUCAACCGAGGAACUGCGCCCAAAACUACCGUGCUCGAGGGAGAUAGAGGUGAGCGGAACUUAGGGUGGAGCGGUGAAAUGCGUUGAUAUCCUAAGGAACACCGGUGGCGAAAGCGGCUCACUGGAUCUUUUCUGACGCUGAGGCACGAAAGCUAGGGUAGCGAACGGG